RNAcentral lists this ribosomal RNA (1373 nucleotides) under Candidatus Zinderia insecticola. Its description in RNAcentral is "bacterial SSU rRNA". It matches the Rfam family "Bacterial small subunit ribosomal RNA", at positions 81 to 1442 of the family's 1533-position model. The record is from RNAcentral. Lineage: Bacteria; Pseudomonadati; Pseudomonadota; Betaproteobacteria; Burkholderiales; Oxalobacteraceae.
UAUUACUAAAUAUAGUAGCGUACGGGUGAGUAAUAUAUCGGAAUGUACCUUAAAAUGGGGGAUAACUAAUUGAAAAAUUAGCUAAUACCGCAUAAUAUUUAAUAUUUAUUUUAAUAUUAAAUAAAAGCAGGGGAUUAGAAAUAACCUUGCGUUUUUUGAUCAGCCGAUAUCUGAUUAGUUAGUUGGUAAGGUAAAAGCUUACCAAGACGAUGAUCAGUAGCUGGUCUGAGAGGACGGUCAGCCACACUGGAAUUGAAAUACGGUCCAGACUUCUACGGAAGGCAGCAGUGGGGAAUAUUGGACAAUGAGGGAAACCUUGAUCCAGCAAUAUCGCGUGAGUGAAGAAGGCCUAUUGGUUGUAAAACUCUUUUGUUAAGGAUGAAAUAAUUUUAACUAAUAAUUAAAAUUUAUGACAGUACUUAAAGAAUAAGCACCGGCUAACUACGUGCCAGCAGCCGCGGUAAUACGUAGGGUGCAAGUGUUAAUCGGAAUUACUGGGCGUAAAGAGUGCGUAGAUGGUUAUAUAAGAUAUAUGUGAAAUCCCUAAACUUAAUUUAGGAACUGCAUAUAUUACUAUAAAACUAGAAUAUAUAAGAGAGGGGUAGAAUUUUACAAGUAGCAGUGAAAUGCGUAGAUAUGUAAAGGAAUACCAAUGGCGAAGGCAACCCCUUGGGAUAAUAUUGACAUUGAGGCACGAAAGCGUGGGGAGCAAACAGGAUUAGAUACCCUGGUAGUCCACGCCCUAAACUAUGUUUACUAAUUAUUAGAUUUUAAUUAAUUUAGUAAUAAAGCUAACGCGUUAAGUAAACCGCCUGGGGAGUACGAUCGCAAGAUUAAAACUCAAAGGAAUUGACGGGGACCCGCACAAGCGGUGGAUGAUGUGGAUUAAUUCGAUGCUACACGAAAAACCUUACCUACUCUUGACAUGCUUAGAAUUUUAAAGAAAUUUAAAAGUGCCGAAAGGAAUUAGGCGACAAGUGCUGCAUGGCUGUCGUCAGCUCGUGUCGUGAGAUGUUGGGUUAAGUCCCGCAACGAGCGCAACCCUUAUCAUUAAUUGCUAAUAUAUGAGUACUUUAAUGAGACUGCUAAUGAUAAAUUAGAGGAAGGAGAGGAUGACGUCAAGUCCUCAUGGCCUUUAUGAGUAGGGCUUCACACGUCAUACAAUGAAACAUACAAAAAGUUGCAAUUUCGUAAGAAUGAGCCAAUCUAUAAAGUGUUUCUCAGUACGGAUUGUAGUCUGCAACUCGACUACAUAAAGAAGGAAUCGCUAGUAAUCGCGGAUCAGCAUGCCGCGGUGAAUAUGUUCUCGGGUCUUGUACACACCGCCCGUCACACCAUGGAAGUAAAUUUAUCAGAAAUGGCUAAUUAACCGU